Long non-coding RNA from Drosophila montana, 380 nucleotides. RefSeq lists it as uncharacterized. The transcript is spliced from 2 exons. Lineage: Eukaryota; Metazoa; Arthropoda; Insecta; Diptera; Drosophilidae. The record is from RefSeq and is a predicted model, not a curated record.
UUUAUCAGACCUCAAACUUUAUUUAUAGCUUUUUCGUUGGCAUUCUUUACACUUUUUCACUUGAUUUGCUGUUUCGUAAUAUUUCGCGAUAAUUAUUAAAAAUAAAGGCGCGCCAUGGAUUUCUAAAAAAAAAUGUAUUUGCGUACCAGCCUUGAAUUUGAUGUUUGCAAAAGCAAAAUAAACAGAGAAAAAAUUAAAACCAAACACGCCGAAACAAACACACAUACACAUACACAAAUACGAAAGCAAUACGAGCGAGCGGGCGAGAACAACAAACUACCGUUAAACGGCACAGGGCUAUUGCCUUAAUGAGUUUCUUGUUUGUUUGCAUGCCAUUUGUUGUUCGCUGGUUAAUUUAACAUGGUUUUUAGUUUGUUGUU